RNAcentral lists this ribosomal RNA (324 nucleotides) under uncultured eukaryote. Its description in RNAcentral is "partial 18S ribosomal RNA". It matches the Rfam family "Eukaryotic small subunit ribosomal RNA", at positions 1470 to 1796 of the family's 1831-position model. The record is from RNAcentral.
CCCUUAGAUGUCCUGGGCUGCACGCGCGCUACACUGAUGUGUCCAGUAAGCACCUAACCUCUUCCGAAAGGAACGGGUAACCUUUGCAAAGCACAUCGUGAUGGGUAUAGAUUAUUGCAAUUAUUAGUCUUGAACGAGGAAUUCCUAGUAAGCACAAGUCAUCAGCUUGUGUUGAUUACGUCCCUGCCCUUUGUACACACCGCCCGUCGCUCCUACCGAUUGAAUGUUCCGGUGAGCUCUUCGGACUGCGCGGUCUGCAGUUUCUGCGUUCCGUGCGGAAAGUUGCGCAAACCUUAACAUUUAGAGGAAGGAGAAGUCGUAACA